Molecule: ribosomal RNA, 253 nt
Filed under: uncultured bacterium
Lineage: Bacteria
Description: partial 16S ribosomal RNA
Rfam family: Bacterial small subunit ribosomal RNA
Source: RNAcentral
UACAGAGGGGGCAAGCGUUGUUCGGAAUUACUGGGCGUAAAGGGCGCGUAGGCGGCCGCCUAAGUCAGACGUGAAAUCCCUCGGCUCAACCGGGGAACUGCGUCUGAUACUGGGUGGCUUGAAUUCGGGAGAGGGAUGCGGAAUUCCAGGUGUAGCGGUGAAAUGCGUAGAUAUCUGGAGGAACACCGGUGGCGAAGGCGGCAUCCUGGACCGAGAUUGACGCUGGGGCGCGAAAGCCAGGGGAGCAAACGGG